GAGUACAUCUUGUGGGAGUGUAGCAGUGAGGAUGAUGAUGACAGUCUCUGGUCUACAGCAGUCACAUUUAUCACCUUAUUUCUAAUCAGUUUCCUUUAUAGUGCAACCAUCACAAUUGUAAAGGUAAAAUGGUUCAUAUCCAGAAUUCUCCAGUUUGACAGACAUAAUAAUGAGCACUUUGUAACAGUCAUGGAUGCUGUGAGACAGUGAAGACCUAACUGAUGUUCAAAACUCCCAAAACAAGACAAACUUAAGGCCUUUUUACACUGGGUGAUUAUAGCCCGAACAGUCUUUUGUAAGAAUGAUCCUUCCUGAUAAUUGCCCUGUAUCAAGAUGGCAAGAAAUCGACCAGGGUACAAUAACUUGUGUGUCUGUCAUUGACUAUCUUUUAUAUACACAUAAAAAUUAUAAUUUGUUGGCAGCAGCGCCUCUUGUGUGCUGCCACUUGUAAUGGAAUAGAACCGUACAAACCAUUACAAUAACGUGUGUUCAUUUGAACAUUUAUUUCCAAUAAUUGCCCUGUGUAAAAGGCUUUUAAUGGAGUGGCAACAGACUUGUUAUGUAUAUCAUGGUUUGGGGCUCGUUUCAGACUUUUUCAUUUUGUGUGUAAUAGGACAAUUCGUUAGUGAGAAUAAACUUAGUUAGGGGCAGUUUUAGAAUCAUUCUCCAACUUAUAUACUGUACAGUGGAUUUAUAAUAAAAAUUAAUUCUA
Long non-coding RNA from Bufo gargarizans (Asiatic toad), 712 nucleotides. RefSeq lists it as uncharacterized. The record is from RefSeq and is a predicted model, not a curated record. Lineage: Eukaryota; Metazoa; Chordata; Amphibia; Anura; Bufonidae. The transcript has 2 exons.